RNAcentral lists this long non-coding RNA (232 nucleotides) under Monodelphis domestica (gray short-tailed opossum). Its description in RNAcentral is "lncRNA (ENSMODG00000038547.1)". Lineage: Eukaryota; Metazoa; Chordata; Mammalia; Didelphimorphia; Didelphidae. The record is from RNAcentral.
AUGAUUUUACCAGGUGCACAACCCUUCUAACCUUCAUUUCCCUCAUUUGUCAAAAGGGAACAAGUAAGUCCUGCUCUCUCCACCUCAAAGGGGUUGUGAGAAUCCAGUGACAGAAUAUGGAGAAAAGGCCCUUUGUGAUGAGAAAGUAACAAGUAAAGCUACUAUAAAAUGGGAAUAAUGGUAUUUGAAGAAUCUAAGACCUGGACACACUGCACAGCAGGAUGGAAAUUCC